CCUACGGGAGGCAGCAGUGGGGAAUAUUGGACAAUGGGGGGAACCCUGAUCCAGCGACGCCGCGUGAGUGAAGAAGUAUUUCGGUAUGUAAAGCUCUAUCAGCAGGGAAGAAAAUGACUGUCCCUGACUGAUAAGCCCCGGCUAACUACGUGCCAGCAGGCGCGGGUCUACGUAGGGGGCAAGCGUUAUCCGGAUUUACUGGGUGUAAAGGGAUCGUAGAGGGUGCAGAAAUGCUGAUGUGAAAGGUCGGGGCUCAACCGCAUGACUGCAUUGGAAACUGUUGAAUUGGAGUACAGUAGAGGUGAGCGGAAUUCCUAGUGUAGCGGUGAAAUGCGUAGAUAUUAGGAGGAACACCAGUGGCGAAGGCGGCUUACUGGACUGUAACUGACGCUGAGGCUCGAAAGCGUGGGUAGCAAACAGGAUUAGAUACCCCGGUAGUC
RNAcentral lists this ribosomal RNA (440 nucleotides) under uncultured bacterium. Its description in RNAcentral is "partial 16S ribosomal RNA". It matches the Rfam family "Bacterial small subunit ribosomal RNA", at positions 338 to 795 of the family's 1533-position model. The record is from RNAcentral.